Molecule: long non-coding RNA, 959 nt
Organism: Cydia amplana
Lineage: Eukaryota; Metazoa; Arthropoda; Insecta; Lepidoptera; Tortricidae
Exons: 3
Source: RefSeq, a predicted model, not a curated record
UGCAACUUCAUUUUCCUCAAAUGCUUUCUUAAAAUCCCUAGACGGUAACGACUAAAAGCUAUCUCACAUUCGUGUCAACAAUUUUGAAGAGGUACUCCAACAGUUGACAGUCUACGUGUGAAGAGGACCUCUCCAAAACACAUUUAUUUAAACAUUGGAGACGUUAAUCCACACAUAAUCGAAAAUCAGACAAAGACAGGCAAGCACGUCGCAAUAUUUGAAGAUAUGCGUGAAAUUAUUAAUAACACGGACAUAAAUAAAAAGAACCAUGAUUCCAUUUGGUUUUCUACUUUAAAAACAACUAUAAAUCUUUUAUCUCACGUUUUUAGUAGUUUAGUGGUCGUAAUAUGUCUUUGGUUUUCUUGUCGAUCGACAAAAUUAACCAUCAUAGAGUUGCAUAUAGUGUUAUGUGUUUUAGGGUACCAACUCUUCAUGAGUCAGGGAAUACUAGUUUUGUCAAAGUUCAACAGCUGGUCGAUGUACUUUAAGCGAAGCCACCGGCAAUGUAUCCACUGGGGUUUGGAAAUAAUUGGAGCAGUAUUGGUCAUCGUUGGCUCUAUUGAAGUGAUCAGAUACAAACAUGAACAUUUUAAUACUCUUCAUGGAAUUCUAGGUUUAUGUGCUUUCAUAGCAACAGUGAUAAUCAUAUUCAACGGGACGAUGACGUCACUUUGUACCAAACUUCCCAGCUAUGGUAUAACUGGUAUCAGCCUAACUGCCAGCAAAUGCGUGCAUGGUGUCACAGGAAUUGCAACCUUAUUUCUUGCCUCCGCAAGUCUACAUUACGGCUACGAUAAACGGUCUUUCAGAAGGUGGAUCAAUAACGAAAAUUUGAUCGUUGUUCUUAAAGUCUUUACUUGGAUGUUAACCAUUUUCGUUGGUUUUGAGUUUUGGAUAAUAUUGGCAAAGAGGAUUCAGUGUAAAAAUACUAUGCCCGUCGGUGUAUCUAAUUAGAACUA